Molecule: ribosomal RNA, 301 nt
Filed under: uncultured bacterium
Lineage: Bacteria
Description: partial 16S ribosomal RNA
Rfam family: Bacterial small subunit ribosomal RNA
Source: RNAcentral
CAGCCGCCACGGUAACACGGAGGGUGCAAGCGUUAAUCGGAAUUACUGGGCGUAAAGCGCACGCAGGCGGUCUGACAAGUCAGAUGUGAAAUCCCCGGGCUUAACCUGGGAACUGCAUUUGAAACUGUCAGGCUGGAGUCUUGUAGAGGGGGGUGGAAUUCCAGGUGUAGCGGUGAAAUGCGUAGAGAUCUGGAGGAAUACCGGUGGCGAAGGCGGCCCCCUGGACAAAGACUGACGCUCAGGUGCGAAAGCGUGGGGAGCAAACAGGAUUAGAUACCCGUGUAGUCCCUGUCUCUUAUAC